UACGUAGGGGGCAAGCGUUGUCCGGAUUUAUUGGGCGUAAAGAGCGUGUAGGCGGCCUGGUAGGUCAGCUGUGAAAACUCGAGGCUCAACCUCGAGACGCCGGUUGAAACCAUCAGGCUAGAGUCCGGAAGAGGAGAGUGGAGUUCCCGGUGUAGCGGUGAAAUGCGCAGAUAUCGGGAAGAACACCCGUGGCUAAGGCGGCUCUCUAGUACGGUACUGACGCUGAGACGCGAAAGCGUGGGGAGCGAACAGG
Molecule: ribosomal RNA, 253 nt
Filed under: uncultured bacterium
Lineage: Bacteria
Description: partial 16S ribosomal RNA
Rfam family: Bacterial small subunit ribosomal RNA
Source: RNAcentral